GACAUAUUCCGGUUGAUCCUGCCGGAGGCCAUUGCUAUCGGAGUCCGAUUUAGCCAUGCUAGUUGCACGAGUUUAGACUCGUAGCAUAUAGCUCAGUAACACGUGGCCAAACUACCCUACAGACCGCGAUAACCUCGGGAAACUGAGGCCAAUAGCGGAUAUAACUCUCAGACUGGAGUGUCGAGAGUUAGAAACGUUCCGGCGCUGUAGGAUGUGGCUGCGGCCGAUUAGGUAGAUGGUGGGGUAACGGCCCACCAUGCCGAUAAUCGGUACAGGUUGUGAGAGCAAGAGCCUGGAGACGGUAUCUGAGACAAGAUACCGGGCCCUACGGGGCGCAGCAGGCGCGAAACCUUUACACUGCACGACAGUGCGAUAGGGGGACUCCGAGUGUGAGGGCAUAUAGCCCUCGCUUUUCUGUACCGUAAGGUGGUACAGGAACAAGGACUGGGCAAGACCGGUGCCAGCCGCCGCGGUAAUACCGGCAGUCCAAGUGAUGGCCGAUAUUAUUGGGCCUAAAGCGUCCGUAGCUACUUUCC
RNAcentral lists this ribosomal RNA (536 nucleotides) under uncultured archaeon. RNAcentral describes it as "bacterial SSU rRNA". It matches the Rfam family "Archaeal small subunit ribosomal RNA", at positions 1 to 533 of the family's 1478-position model. The record is from RNAcentral.